UACGUAGGGGGCAAGCGUUGUCCGGAUUUAUUGGGCGUAAAGAGCGGUGUAGGCGGCCUGACAGGUCUGCUGUGAAAACUCGAGGCUCAACCUCGAGAUGUCGGCGGAAACCGUCUGGCUAGAGUCCGGAAGAGGAGAGUGGAAUCCUGGUGUAGCGGUGAAAUGCGCAGAUAUCAGGAAGAACACCUAUGGCGAAGGCAGCUCUCUGGGACGGUACUGACGCUGAGACGACGAAAGCGUGGGGAGCAAACAGG
This 254-nucleotide ribosomal RNA is filed under the name uncultured bacterium. Its description in RNAcentral is "partial 16S ribosomal RNA". It matches the Rfam family "Bacterial small subunit ribosomal RNA", at positions 524 to 776 of the family's 1533-position model. The record is from RNAcentral.